GAUGAACGCUGGCGGCGCGCCUAAUACAUGCAAGUCGAGCGAACAGACGAGGAGCUUGCUCCUCUGACGUUAGCGGCGGACGGGUGAGUAACGCGUGGAUAACCUACCUAUAAGACUGGGAUAACUUCGGGAAACCGGAGCUAAUACCGGAUAAUAUAUUGAACCGCAUGGUUCAAUAGUGAAAGACGGUUUUGCUGUCACUUAUAGAUGGAUCCGCGCCGCAUUAGCUAGUUGGUAAGGUAACGGCUUACCAAGGCAACGAUGCGUAGCCGACCUGAGAGGGUGAUCGGCCACACUGGAACUGAGACACGGUCCAGACUCCUACGGGAGGCAGCAGUAGGGAAUCUUCCGCAAUGGGCGAAAGCCUGACGGAGCAACGCCGCGUGAGUGAUGAAGGUCUUCGGAUCGUAAAACUCUGUUAUUAGGGAAGAACAAAUGUGUAAGUAACUAUGCACGUCUUGACGGUACCUAAUCAGAAAGCCACGGCUAACUACGUG
This 497-nucleotide ribosomal RNA is filed under the name uncultured bacterium. RNAcentral's name for it is "partial 16S ribosomal RNA". It matches the Rfam family "Bacterial small subunit ribosomal RNA", at positions 28 to 507 of the family's 1533-position model. The record is from RNAcentral.